GGAAAUGGAUGUAGCUCAAUGGUAGAGUGUCUGCCUUGCAUGCAGAAGAUCCUAGGUUCAAUCCCAUCAUGUUCCA
Non-coding RNA from Podarcis lilfordi (Lilford's wall lizard), 76 nucleotides. The record is from the annotation of a GenBank genome assembly. Lineage: Eukaryota; Metazoa; Chordata; Lepidosauria; Squamata; Lacertidae.